RNAcentral lists this unclassified non-coding RNA (2105 nucleotides) under uncultured fungus. Its description in RNAcentral is "sequence contains 18S rRNA gene, ITS1, 5.8S rRNA gene, ITS2, 28S rRNA gene". The stretch from base 1139 to 2105 matches the Rfam family "Eukaryotic large subunit ribosomal RNA", at positions 1 to 961 of the family's 3401-position model. The record is from RNAcentral. Lineage: Eukaryota; Fungi.
GUUUGGAUCAUUACUAACCCGGUUUUCCCAGCAAUGGGGAGGCUGGGUUUAAAGCGAAGCCCACGGCAAGACCCCUCUGGGGAGGAGCCCUCUGGCAAAAACCGGUAGUACUGGGGUGAAGCCGACGGGCUGAUCCUUGGGAAUCCAAAAAACACACUGGAAAAGUCCUACUGGGAGCAGUCCAGCCCACUUCACUGAGGGCAGGCAGUCUUACGGGCACACUGGAAAAGUCCUACUGGGAGCAGUCCAGCCCACUUCAUUGAGGGCAGGCAGUCUUAUGGGCAUUAUCCGCACUGGUGAACCUGCGGGUGGGCGUUCUGCAUGUGGUCUAAGGGCAUAAGUCCUCGUCUACUGGCUUCAACUAGGGGAAAACACCCCCUGGCUAUCGCUGGGUUACAACGACGUGGUAAGAGGCUCUUCUACCGUUAAACACGCGGUCCGUUCUGCGGAGGGUGGUCUUGGGAUGGAGUGCUUUCCCCCUUGAUCUCCUCACAAACAUACACGCUUGGGCCAUGGGGUCGCUCCUUUUGGCUUGGGCAAAAUCCUACACCGUUAGGCGAUGGAUUGCUGGGUACCCGCUUCGACGAAGAGCGCAGUGAAACGCGAUAACGCUUGUGAUUCGCACUCUCUGUGAUCAACGUCACCUCGAACAUCGAUGCGGCCUUGGCUUCGGCCACUGGCCCCCUUGGUUUGCCUUGCCUUAUUCCGAUAUCGUGCCUUUCUGCCCCUUGAUCCCGACCUCCCCAGCUUGCUGAGGGGGACCAGACGGUGAUGGGGGUGGGUGGGUUCGCAGUGCCUUGGCUGUGUCUACGGGACGCUAACCUCGGUCAAGAUAGGGGAGCCAAACUCCCCACCAAAACCCCCUUUUUCUGGGUGGUACACGACGGGUCUAUCCCAAACACUGGUCCUCCUCUUCUCUUCCUCACUCGUGGGGAGGGGCUGGGGCGUGUCCUGGCGAACAACGCUCACGCAACGAUCGCUGGGGCCUGUAUAUCGGGCUAGUGGGACUCUUAGGGUGCUGCCAAACCUCCUCGCCCCCCUCGGGGGGUGGGGAAACAGGGACAGAUCUUGGGAGGGAACGCCGAACGGAAACUGCCCUUUACCGGGUGGGCUCUGCCGGCCUCUUCCUGUACAAACAAGGCGGCAGGUCAGGGUGUUCACCCGCUCAAUUUAAGCAUAUAAGUCAGCGGAGGAAAAGAAAUCAAUAGAGAUUCUCUCAGUAGCUGCGAGCGAACAGGGAAUAGCCCGAGACCGAAUCCCAGCCUUCCCACGGGGGGGCGGGACCUGUAGUCUAAAGGGGUGCUCUGCAAGGGAAGGGUUCAUUGCAAUGGGAUGAUCUCCCAGCGCAUAGGGCGUUACACGCGACCGUGAGCUCGACCUGCGAAGGGUGUUCCUGCGAGUAGGCUAGCUUGAAAGUGCUGGCUGAAUAUGGGUGGUGCUGGCCAUCCAAGGCUAAAUAUGAAAGCGUGGUAACCGAUAGCGAACAAGUACCGUAAGGGAAAGCUGAAAAGCACCUCGUCUGAGGAGCUAAAAGAGCAUGAAAUCCGUCUAACGUGAACGGGACAUCCGGGCUCGUAGAAAGGCGUCGGUAAGGUAGCUCCCUGCCACACGGCGCUUAGUACUACACGGCUUCGGCGAGGCUCUGCUGGAAAUGGCUGUCUUUGAUGCUCUUGGGCUUACGGGCUCGGGGGCACUGGCGGUUCUGAUCCGUGGGGCUUCUCCGCCUAGCUUGCAGCGGUGGGAGGAUUCGUCCUUCCUGCCUUGUGAGGUGUAAGAGCUUGGUUUCCCACCCGUCUUGAAACACGGACCAAGGAGUCUAACGUACAUGCAAGUCUUCCAGCCUUCAUGCUGGCCGGCGAAGCUCAUGCAAAAAGCACCAAGGGGCCCCCGGGCCCCCGCAAUGCUCUCCUAACCGGGCUCUCGGGCUUGGAUUGGAGUUUGAGCAUGUCAUGUUAGGUCCCGAAAAACGACGAGCUAUGCUUGAGUAGGCUGAAGCCAGGAGAAAUCUUGGUGGAAGGCCGUAGCAGUACUGACGUGCAAAUCGUUUGUCAAACUUGAGUAUAGGGGCGAAAGACCAAUCGAGUCGUUUAGUAGCUGGUUUCCAC